RNAcentral lists this ribosomal RNA (835 nucleotides) under uncultured bacterium. RNAcentral's name for it is "bacterial SSU rRNA". It matches the Rfam family "Bacterial small subunit ribosomal RNA", at positions 100 to 948 of the family's 1533-position model. The record is from RNAcentral.
GAACGGGUGAGUAACACGUGGGUGAUCUGCCCUGCACUUUGGGAUAAGCCUGGGAAACUGGGUCUAAUACCGAAUAGGACCACGCGCUUCAUGGUGUGUGGUGGAAAGCUUUCGCGGUGUGGGAUGGGCCCGCGGCCUAUCAGCUUGUUGGUGGGGUAAUGGCCUACCAAGGCGACGACGGGUAGCCGGCCUGAGAGGGUGACCGGCCACACUGGGACUGAGAUACGGCCCAGACUCCUACGGGAGGCAGCAGUGGGGAAUAUUGCACAAUGGGCGCAAGCCUGAUGCAGCGACGCCGCGUGAGGGAUGACGGCCUUCGGGUUGUAAACCUCUUUCAAUAGGGACGAAGCGCAAGUGACGGUACCUAUAGAAGAAGCACCGGCCAACUACGUGCCAGCAGCCGCGGUAAUACGUAGGGUGCGAGCGUUGUCCGGAAUUACUGGGCGUAAAGAGCUCGUAGGUGGUUUGUCGCGUUGUUCGUGAAAACUCACAGCUUAACUGUGGGCGUGCGGGCGAUACGGGCAGACUAGAGUUCUGCAGGGGAGACCGGAAUUCCUGGUGUAGCGGUGGAAUGCGCAGAUAUCAGGAGGAACACCGGUGGCGAAGGCGGGUCUCUGGGCAGUAACUGACGCUGAGGAGCGAAAGCGUGGGGAGCGAACAGGAUUAGAUACCCUGGUAGUCCACGCCGUANACGGUGGGUACUAGGUGUGGGUUCCUUCCUUGGGAUCCGUGCCGUAGCUAACGCAUUAAGUACCCCGCCUGGGGAGUACGGCCGCAAGGCUAAAACUCAAAGGAAUUGACGGGGGCCCGCACAAGCGGCNNNGNAUGUGGAUUA